This 310-nucleotide ribosomal RNA is filed under the name uncultured eukaryote. Its description in RNAcentral is "partial 18S ribosomal RNA". It matches the Rfam family "Eukaryotic small subunit ribosomal RNA", at positions 1470 to 1796 of the family's 1831-position model. The record is from RNAcentral.
CCCUUAGAUGUUCUGGGCGGCCCGCGCACUACAAUGGCGCUUUCAGCGAGUUCCUAUGUUGAAUUUUCCCGGGUAUUCUUGGAAGCGGCGUCUUGACUUGGGAUAGAUCCUUGUAAUUGUUGGUUUUGAACGAGGAAUUCCUUGUAAUCGCGGUUGAUCAGCUCGCGUUGAAUACGUCCCUGCCCUUUGUACACACCGCCCGUCGCUCCUACCGAUGAAUCGUCCGGUGAAGUUCACAGAGUGGCGGUUCGUGGAGUUGCUCGCGAAGUGAAAUGGACCUCACGAUUUAGAGGAAGGAGAAGUCGUAACA